GGGCCGAAAUAGGAUCGACGAACGACCAAAGAGGCCAGCUUUCGCUCGGUGAGGUACCACCGUUAUCGGUCCAUGAUCACAGUUGCCAACGACAACCGUGCUCCGGUGGCGCUGGCCGCGUAAGCGGCUCGCAAUACCAAAACCAAGCCCUUGCGGUUAGCACCGUAAGGCGGGGUUCGCAGGUACCUGGCAACAGAAACCUGCACC
Molecule: transfer-messenger RNA, 207 nt
Filed under: Tabrizicola sp.
Lineage: Bacteria; Pseudomonadati; Pseudomonadota; Alphaproteobacteria; Rhodobacterales; Paracoccaceae
Description: partial transfer-messenger RNA
Rfam family: Alphaproteobacteria transfer-messenger RNA
About the family: Bacterial tmRNA, also known as 10Sa RNA or SsrA, is named for its dual tRNA and mRNA-like properties. Its role is to liberate the mRNA from a stalled ribosome. To accomplish this part of the tmRNA is used as a reading frame that ends in a translation stop signal.
Source: RNAcentral